CUAAGGCCGAUGGCGACCGGCGCACGGGUGAGUAACACGUAUCCAACCUGCCCUUUACUCGGGGAUAGCCUUUCGAAAGAAAGAUUAAUACCCGAUGGCAUAAUGAUUCCGCAUGGUUUCAUUAUUAAAGGAUUCCGGUAAAGGAUGGGGAUGCGUUCCAUUAGGUUGUUGGUGAGGUAACGGCCCACCAAGCCUUCGAUGGAUAGGGGUUCUGAGAGGAAGGUCCCCCACAUUGGAACUGAGACACGGUCCAA
This 254-nucleotide ribosomal RNA is filed under the name uncultured bacterium. RNAcentral describes it as "partial 16S ribosomal RNA". It matches the Rfam family "Bacterial small subunit ribosomal RNA", at positions 79 to 334 of the family's 1533-position model. The record is from RNAcentral.